RNAcentral lists this ribosomal RNA (235 nucleotides) under uncultured Pseudomonadota bacterium. RNAcentral's name for it is "uncultured proteobacterium partial 16S ribosomal RNA". It matches the Rfam family "Bacterial small subunit ribosomal RNA", at positions 814 to 1050 of the family's 1533-position model. Lineage: Bacteria; Pseudomonadati; Pseudomonadota. The record is from RNAcentral.
UAUCCCCUGUGUGCCUUUAAGGCGUGCGUAGCGAAGCUAACGCGCUAAGUAGACCGCCUGGGGAGUACGGCCGCAAGGUUAAAACUCAAAUGAAUUGACGGGGGCCCGCACAAGCGGUGGAGCAUGUGGUUUAAUUCGAAGCAACGCGCAGAACCUUACCAACCCUUGACAUCCUGUGCUACAUCCAGAGAUGGAUGGUUCCCUUCGGGGACGCAGUGACAGGUGCUGCAUGGCU